UGGGUAACCUGCCUCAAAGAGGGGAAUAGCCUCCCGAAAGGGAGAUUAAUACCGCAUAAUAUGUUUAAGUCGCAUGACUUUAACAUCAAAGGAUUUUCUUUUAGAAAUUCCACUUUGAGAUGGACCCGCGGCGCAUUAGCUAGUUGGUGAGGUAAGGCUCACCAAGGCAACGAUGCGUAGCCGACCUGAGAGGUGNCGCGCAUGUA
Molecule: ribosomal RNA, 206 nt
Filed under: uncultured bacterium
Lineage: Bacteria
Description: partial 16S ribosomal RNA
Rfam family: Bacterial small subunit ribosomal RNA
Source: RNAcentral